UACGAAGGGUGCAAGCGUUACUCGGAAUUACUGGGCGUAAAGCGUGCGUAGGUGGUUCGUUAAGUCUGAUGUGAAAGCCCUGGGCUCAACCUAGGAAUUGCAUUGGAUACUGGCGAGCUAGAGUGCAGUAGAGGAUGGCGGAAUUCCCGGUGUAGCAGUGAAAUGCGUAGAGAUCAAGAGAAACAUCUGUGACGAAGGCGGCCAUCUGGACCAGCACUGACACUGAAGCACGAAAGCAUGGGGAGCAAACAGG
Molecule: ribosomal RNA, 253 nt
Filed under: uncultured bacterium
Lineage: Bacteria
Description: partial 16S ribosomal RNA
Rfam family: Bacterial small subunit ribosomal RNA
Source: RNAcentral